Molecule: transfer RNA, 39 nt
Filed under: Cydistomyia duplonotata
Lineage: Eukaryota; Metazoa; Arthropoda; Insecta; Diptera; Tabanidae
Description: tRNA-Trp
Source: RNAcentral
UCAAAGCUAUAUAUAUAAGUAUAAAUCUUUUAAGCCUUA